Molecule: ribosomal RNA, 348 nt
Filed under: uncultured bacterium
Lineage: Bacteria
Description: bacterial SSU rRNA
Rfam family: Bacterial small subunit ribosomal RNA
Source: RNAcentral
ACUCCUACGGGAGGCAGCAGUAGGGGAAUCUUCCACAAUGGGCGGACCAAGCCUGAUGGAGCAACACCGCGUGAGUGAAGAAGGGUUCGGCUCGUAAAGCUCUGUUGUUAAAGAAGAACACGUAUGAGAGUAACUGUUCAUACGUUGACGGUAUUUAACCAGAAAGUCACGGCUAACUACGUGCCAGCAGCCGCGGUAAUACGUAGGUGGCAAGCGUUAUCCGGAUUUAUUGGGCGUAAAGAGAGUGCAGGCGGUUUUCUAAGUCUGAUGUGAAAGCCUUCGGCGUUAACCGGAGAAGUGCAUCGGAAACUGGAUAACUUGAGUGCAGAAGAGGGUAAGUGGAGCUCC